UGGUGAGCUAAAAGUUUUGCUAUUAUCAACAAAUAGCCAUGUACCCCCACCCAGCUUAAGAAGUAGAAUGUUACUGAUAGAACUGGAGAUUCAUUUAUGUCCCUUCCCAAAUGCAUGUACUUAACUAUUUAAAUAUCUAGAAAUUAUUUCAGUUAUGGAGUGAGGUAAGGAUCCAGUAAAUAAUUUUUACCCCAAAUGGAUAACCCAUUUUCUCAGCAUAAUUUGAUUAAUCAUUUAUCAUUUUCCCACUGAUUUGGAGAUCAUUAUUUUAGUGUACUAAUUACCUAUGUGUACUUUUAUUUGUUUUGGGGUUUCUAUUCUGCUCCAUUGCAUUAUGUCCAUUCUGCCAUCAGGUACGUACUGUUUUAAUUAGUCUCACUUCAUGGUAUGUUCUGAUGCUUCCAGUACAAAUUCCCCUAUAUUAUUGGGUAGACACUCUCUCAGAUGGCCUCAUAUGAUCCCUGACUCUUGGUAUUCAUGUUCUUGGGUAAUCUUCCCUUAAGUGUGGGCUGGAUUUGGUGACUCUCUAGUGAAUAAAGUGUGGUAAAGAUGAUGGUAUGUCACUCCUGAGAUUAAGUUACAAAAAAGACUACGGCUUCUAUCUUGGUUAUUCUUUCUUAUUUUCUCACUUGCUUUGAGGGAAUCCAGCUGCCUUGUGAGCUGCUUUGUAGAGAAGUCCAUGUGGCAAGGAGCUAAGUAAGGGAGGCAUCGUGACAACAGCCAGUGAGGAACUGAGGCACUCAGUCUAACAGCUUGGGAGGAAUUGAAUCCUUCCAACAACCUGCAUGUGAGCUUGAGCUUGGAAAUGGACCUUACCUCAGGUGAACUUUUAGGUGAGACAACAGUCCUAAGCCAAUACUUUGAUUGCAGCCUUGUGAGAGAACUUGAGCUAGAGGUACCAAGCUAAACCAUGCUUGUAUUUCUGAUUCACGGAAACUGA
This 940-nucleotide long non-coding RNA is filed under the name Homo sapiens (human). RNAcentral describes it as "HSALNT0310643". Lineage: Eukaryota; Metazoa; Chordata; Mammalia; Primates; Hominidae. The record is from RNAcentral.